GAGGGCGUAGUGUAAUGGUAACGCGGCGGUCUCCAAAACCGCAGAUAGUGGUUCGAUUCCACUCGCCUUUGCCA
RNAcentral lists this transfer RNA (74 nucleotides) under Caudoviricetes sp. RNAcentral describes it as "tRNA-Trp". It matches the Rfam family "tRNA". Rfam says of the family: Transfer RNA (tRNA) molecules are approximately 80 nucleotides in length. Their secondary structure includes four short double-helical elements and three loops (D, anti-codon, and T loops). Further hydrogen bonds mediate the characteristic L-shaped molecular structure. tRNAs have two regions of fundamental functional importance: the anti-codon, which is responsible for specific mRNA codon recognition, and the 3' end, to which the tRNAs corresponding amino acid is attached (by aminoacyl-tRNA synthetases). tRNAs cope with the degeneracy of the genetic code in two manners: having more than one tRNA (with a specific anti-codon) for a particular amino acid; and 'wobble' base-pairing, i.e. permitting non-standard base-pairing at the 3rd anti-codon position. Lineage: Duplodnaviria; Heunggongvirae; Uroviricota; Caudoviricetes. The record is from RNAcentral.